UGGGGAAUAUUGCACAAUGGAGGGAACUCUGAUGCAGCGACGCCGCGUGAGUGAUGAUGGACUUCGUUUCGUAAAACUCUGUUCUAUGGGAAGAAAAGGACUGUACCAUAGGAGAAAGCUCCGGCUAAAUACGUGCCAGCAGCCGCGGUAAUACGUAUGGAGCGAGCGUUGUCCGGAAUUAUUGGGCGUAAAGGGUGCGCAGGCGGCUUUACAAAUUGGAUGUGAAAUAUUGUGGCUCAACCACAAACGUGCAUCCAAAACUGCAAAGCUUGAGUUAAGGAGAGGUAAGUGGAAUUCCUGGUGUAGCGGUGGAAUGCGUAGAUAUCAGGAGGAAUACCGGUGGCGAAGGCGACUUACUGGACUUAAACUGACGCUCAGGCACGAAAGCGUGGGGAGCAAACAGG
RNAcentral lists this ribosomal RNA (404 nucleotides) under Fusobacteriota bacterium. RNAcentral describes it as "Fusobacteria bacterium partial 16S ribosomal RNA". It matches the Rfam family "Bacterial small subunit ribosomal RNA", at positions 355 to 776 of the family's 1533-position model. Lineage: Bacteria; Fusobacteriati; Fusobacteriota. The record is from RNAcentral.